Molecule: ribosomal RNA, 368 nt
Filed under: uncultured Planctomycetota bacterium
Lineage: Bacteria; Pseudomonadati; Planctomycetota
Description: bacterial SSU rRNA
Rfam family: Bacterial small subunit ribosomal RNA
Source: RNAcentral
AGUGCCUAUUUGACAAAGGCUCCAAAGGAAGCCACGGCUAACUCUGUGCCAGCAGCCGCGGUAAUACAGAGGUGGCAAGCGUUGUUCGGAAUUAUUGGGCGUAAAGAGCACGUAGGUGGAUUUGUUAGUCAGAUGUGAAAGCCUUUCGUUCAACGGAAGAAUUGCAUCUGAAACUACAAACCUUGAGUAUAGGAGGGGAGAGUGGAACUUCUGGUGGAGCGGUGAAAUGCGUAGAUAUCAGAAGGAACGCCGGCGGCGAAAGCGACUCUCUGGCCUAUAACUGACACUGAGUGUGCGAAAGCUAGGGGAGCAAACGGGAUUAGAUACCCCGGUAGUCCUAGCCGUAAACGAUGGGCACUAAGUAGAGG